AGAAUCAACGCUGGCGGCGUGCCUAACACAUGCAAGUCGAACGAGAAAGUGGAGCAAUCCAUGAGUAAAGUGGCGCACGGGUGAGUAACACGUGACUAACCUACCCUUGAGUGGGGAAUAACUUCGGGAAACCGAGGCUAAUACCGCAUAACACCUACGGGUCAAAGGGGCAAUUCGCUUAAGGAGGGGGUCGCGGCAGAUUAGUUAGUUGGCAGGGUAAUGGCCUACCAAGACGGUGAUCUGUAUCCGG
RNAcentral lists this ribosomal RNA (250 nucleotides) under uncultured bacterium. RNAcentral describes it as "partial small subunit ribosomal RNA". It matches the Rfam family "Bacterial small subunit ribosomal RNA", at positions 26 to 290 of the family's 1533-position model. The record is from RNAcentral.